GACGAACGCUGGCGGCGUGCUUAACACAUGCAAGUCGAACGAAGAGCGAUGGAAGCUUGCUUCUAUCAAUCUUAGUGGCGAACGGGUGAGUAACGCGUAAUCAACCUGCCCUUCAGAGGGGGACAACAGUUGGAAACGACUGCUAAUACCGCAUACGAUCUAACCUCGGCAUCGAGGAUAGAUGAAAGGUGGCCUCUACAUGUAAGCUAUCACUGAAGAAGGGGAUUGCGUCUGAUUGGCUAGUUGGAGGGGUAACGGCCCACCAAGGCGAUGAUCAGUAGCCGGUCUGAGAGGAUGGACGGCCACAGUGAGACUGAGACACGGCCCAGACUCCUACGGGAAGCAGCAGUAGGGAAUCUUCCGCAAUGGACGAAAGUCUGACGGAGCAACGCCGCGUGAGUGAUGACGGCCUUCGGGUUGUAAAGCUCUGUUAAUCGGGACGAAAGGCUUUCUUGCGAAUAGUGAGAAGGAUUGACGGUACCGGAAUAGAAAGCCACGGCUAACUACGUG
Molecule: ribosomal RNA, 510 nt
Filed under: uncultured bacterium
Lineage: Bacteria
Description: partial 16S ribosomal RNA
Rfam family: Bacterial small subunit ribosomal RNA
Source: RNAcentral